This 897-nucleotide ribosomal RNA is filed under the name Triticum aestivum (bread wheat). RNAcentral's name for it is "partial small subunit ribosomal RNA". The record is from RNAcentral. Lineage: Eukaryota; Viridiplantae; Streptophyta; Magnoliopsida; Poales; Poaceae.
AUGGACGCGCCGGCCGCCUGCGAGAUCGAGCGCCUGCCGGAGGACCUCCUGAUGCACGUGAUAUCGCUCACGUCGCCGGCGGACGCCUUCCACGCCACCGCCGUGUCCCGGGCCUUCCACGCCGCCGCCGACUCAGACACCGUCUGGUCCCGCCUCCUGCCGCGCGACCUCCCGCAGUUCGCCAAGAGGGAGCUCCCCCGCAAGCCGCCGUCGACCAAGAAGGGGAUGUUCCGGCGCCUCUCCGACGAACCAGCCCUCCUCCCGGGCAAGUAUGUGCGCAUGCAGCUGGACAAGGCCACCGGUGCCAAGUGCUUCACGUUUUCGGCCAGCGCGCUACAGAUCACCCAAGCUAAUGAUGCACACACGCCCUUGAUACGUGUAGGUUCAGUGCCGGGCUACAGCAAAAGAGGCAAAAGGUUCUCACAAGCAGCUGACAUCGGCCAUGUUAACAUACUCGAGAUAUGUGCCAAGAUACAAAGAAACAUGCUCUCUCAAAACACAACCUACGUGGCAUACAUGGUGUUCAAGCUAGGACCCAGAUUUUACAGCUUCGAUUUCCCGUUUCAAGAAGCCUCAUUUGGCAUUGCUGGGAGCCAGUCGACUCGCCAGGUUUGCCUGCAAGGCUAUGUCGAGGACGGUGAUGGAGCCGAUGUUCCACCUCGGAAGCACAUCGUGCCAAGUUCUUAUCAUAUAUAUAAUCAUGACUCGGUUCCUCCUCAAAAGAACGUUGUUUUCCCACAUAAGAAAGCCGACGGUUGGAUGGAGGUGGAGCUUGGUGAGUUCCAUAAUGAGGGAGGUGACGGUGAGGUCUCCAUCAGCUUGACCGAGACAACAAAACCCAAGAGUGGCCUUAUUGUCUGGGGCAUUGUGAUAAGAAGUAAGCAACAAAAGAAAAAA